AACCUCCGCAAUGUGAGAAAUCGCGACGGGGGGAUCCCAAGUGCCAUUCUUAACGGGAUGGCUUUUCAUUAGUGUAAAGAGCUUUUGGAAUAAGAGCUGGGCAAGACCGGUGCCAGCCGCCGCGGUAACACCGGCAGCUCUAGUGGUAGCUGUUUUUAUUGGGCCUAAAGCGUUCGUAGCCGGUUUGAUAAGUCACUGGUGAAAUCCUGUAGCCUAACUGUGGGAAUUGCUGGUGAUACUGUUGAACUUGAGGUCGGGAGAGGUUAGCGGUACUCCCAGGGUAGAGGUGAAAUUCUGUAAUCCUGGGAGGACCACCUGUGGCGAAGGCGGCUAACUGGAACGAACCUGACGGUGAGGGACGAAAGCUAGGGGCGCGAACCAGAUUAGAUACCCGGGUAGUCCUAGCCGUAAACGAUGCGGACUUGGUGUUGGGAUGGCUUGAGCCGCUCCGGUGCCGAAGGGAAGCUGUUAAGUCCGCCGCCUGGGAAGUACGGUCGCAAGACUGAAACUUAAAGGAAUU
RNAcentral lists this ribosomal RNA (520 nucleotides) under uncultured bacterium. RNAcentral's name for it is "bacterial SSU rRNA". It matches the Rfam family "Archaeal small subunit ribosomal RNA", at positions 345 to 866 of the family's 1478-position model. The record is from RNAcentral.